GAAUGAACCAUAGUCCUCCUCUUUGCUUUUGCCUCCUUUGUUCUUCUGCAGUUACAGCAGAAGCGAAUUUUACCUGUAUAGCUCCAACACCUUCAGAGAACAUAAAAUAGCAGUCAUGAGCAAGGAAUAUAGAGAAGUCAUCCACCUCAGUUCCAUCAUCCCUUCUCAAAGAACUAAUCACUGACCACCUUGAACUUGGACAGUGAGGCCAUCAAGGACCAUAGCCAUCAUCAUCGUCAACUCCAUCAUAUUUUAUACUCACAGCUAUUUAGGAAACACUUGUUCAGAACUAUUUGUUUAAAUAUAUAUAGAAAUAAUUGAUAAUGAGUAAGAAUUAACCAUUAGCAAUGUGUAUUGCCAAUAUAUAUCUAUCUAGUAUUGUUUCCCAGUUUGAAACUGGCCAAAGUUUUCAGUCUUUUAAACACUGCUAUCAGUGAUCUCUAAUUCUACUAACUGAGAUUUAUAUAUUUACAUAUAUAUGUAUGUAUACGUAUGUAUCAUCAGUUGCAAUAAGUUCAAGACAACUGUGAUUAUGAAUCGUGAUAGUAAAUAUUAAGAAACGGUGUGCGUAAGACUGAACUUAAAAGUCUGCUAAUGAUGUAGCUCCUGGUUAACUAUAAAUGCAGGCAAAGUGCAUGUAGGUCUGCUUGUGUAAGACUGCAUAGACACGCUGCAGGAAUGGUGCAUUUUCCAAGGCAAUAUGCCUCCAAUCCUUGAUAUGUCAAAAGAAUAUUUAUGUGAUACAAAUAUUUUUACUCCAGCAAAAAUGUUAUAAAUAACAAUCAAACAGACAUGCUUUAAAUAUAACUUGUGUUUUCAAUUUGUCUGAAUAACAUAUUGGACCGUGACAUCUCAAAAGAAGAAAAAUCAACAGAAAUAUACCGAAUAAUAGUUUUUUAACAUGGAUCCUUUUGAUAAAACCAGGCUUGUUCUUUAAUUCGAUUCAUCCUUCUGAACAGACACUUAACAGAUAUUUAUGAUGUGUAGAAAAUAAUAUUAUAGUGGAGUAAAAGAAACCAUUUAUAUCUUAAAUAUUCUUAAUGAUCAAGUAACUUUCUAACAAUUAAAUUUGUUUUGUAUUUGUAACUUUUGGUUUAGAAACAAGACGAAUAUGAGCUAUUAGAGGCCUUUUUGGAAAAGCAGCUUCUUCUUCCAUCUUUAUAUGCCAAUUCACAGAAAUAUUUUAAAAUUGUUAGUAUUGGUCAUACAAUCUUCUCCAGAGUGUAUUAUUUUCUUCUCACAGUUAAUGUAAUGGCAGACCUUUUUUUAAAGUUACUGAAUCAUCAAAGUUGUAGUACAGUAAAAAAAUUAACUUUGUGAUUAUCUAGGAAAAUGCAGUCUGUAGGUUUCUUUGUGAAGAAGCAAGUGGCAACGAUGUAAUGAUUGCAUUUAACAAAGUCUGA
Molecule: long non-coding RNA, 1403 nt
Organism: Athene cunicularia (burrowing owl)
Lineage: Eukaryota; Metazoa; Chordata; Aves; Strigiformes; Strigidae
Exons: 2
Source: RefSeq, a predicted model, not a curated record